UACAUCGAAAGUCUUGAUCCACUGCUGGCUAGAUUUGAAAUCUAAUAGAUCACACACUUUGAGAUUUGACUUUGAUCUAAUCUAAUUAGAGUUCUAAGUGUUGCUUGAAUGCCCUAAGAUUUGAUUUUUUCAUGUGUUGGAGCCAAAAAUUAAAUCUUAGGUUGUAUGACAUCUAAAGAGUAUCUUCUAAGUGUCGUUCUGAUGG
RNAcentral lists this long non-coding RNA (205 nucleotides) under Elaeis guineensis (African oil palm). RNAcentral's name for it is "long non-coding RNA (EGUI_LNC066968)". Lineage: Eukaryota; Viridiplantae; Streptophyta; Magnoliopsida; Arecales; Arecaceae. The record is from RNAcentral.